RNAcentral lists this ribosomal RNA (465 nucleotides) under Vreelandella stevensii. Its description in RNAcentral is "partial 16S ribosomal RNA". It matches the Rfam family "Bacterial small subunit ribosomal RNA", at positions 338 to 795 of the family's 1533-position model. Lineage: Bacteria; Pseudomonadati; Pseudomonadota; Gammaproteobacteria; Oceanospirillales; Halomonadaceae. The record is from RNAcentral.
CCUACGGGAGGCUGCAGUGGGGAAUAUUGGACAAUGGGGGGAACCCUGAUCCAGCCAUGCCGCGUGUGUGAAGAAGGCCCUCGGGUUGUAAAGCACUUUCAGUGAGGAAGAACGCCUGGUGGUUAAUACCCAUCAGGAAAGACAUCACUCACAGAAGAAGCACCGGCUAACUCCGUGCCAGCAGCCGCGGUAAUACGGAGGGUGCGAGCGUUAAUCGGAAUUACUGGGCGUAAAGCGCGCGUAGGUGGCUUGAUAAGCCGGUUGUGAAAGCCCCGGGCUCAACCUGGGAACGGCAUCCGGAACUGUCAAGCUUGAGUGUAGGAGAGGACGGUAGAAUUCCCGGUGUAGCGGUGAAAUGCGUAGAGAUCGGGAGGAAUACCAGUGGCGAAGGCGGCCUUCAGGACUGACACUGACACUGAGGUGCGAAAGCGUGGGUAGCAAACAGGAUUAGAUACCCGGGUAGUC